CACACUGCAGACUCGAGUGUGGGGAGUUAAUAUUUUACUCUGCAUGGAUUUGUGCCUUAACCUAAAAUGCUGCUGUUACAUGGUUUCCUCUGAUGCUGGGGACAGUGGAGAGUCCAGGACACAGAGGCAUGACGCUGAAACGAGUUAUGGGUUGAGGUCAGGAAGCAUUUCUUCACACAAAGGUGAACGUAAAAGAUCCCAUGGCACAUUUUGAAGAAGAGGAGCAGAGGAACUUUCACUUUUUCCUGGCCAAUGUUUAUACCUCAAUCACUGAAACAGGAAUACACAAGAAAAUAGGCUAAAAAGCCAGCUGCAAAACUGAUCGGUGUGUUCUGGCUCUGGUGUGCAAGUGUGUGCCAUGAAGGUCACAGCAGAAGAACAUCAGCUAGACAUUCCUGCAGCUUGCGUUCUUGCACGCCCGCUCUCUCACCCGGUCUCUCGUCUCCGCCCUCGUGCGCUCACUCUGGCUGGAGGCAAGUCAGCAAAGCCGCAGUCAAAAGGAAAUGAAGCCAACCUGCUGGACCAAGUGUCUCCAAAGCAACUGCUCAACUGCCAAAGUCAGCUCCGCUGGAAUCACCCAACUUAAAAACUGCAACAUCAAGUCAUAUUUCACUAUUAGCGCACACAUGCGGUGCAGUGGUUAGCACUGCUACCUCACAGCUCCAGGAAUCUGGAUUCAAUUCUGACCUUGGGUGUCUAUCUGGGUGGAGUUUACACGUUCCCUCCAUUUCCGCCGGGUGCUCCGGUUUCCUCCCAUUGUCCAAUGAUGUGCUGGUUAGGUG
Molecule: long non-coding RNA, 782 nt
Organism: Carcharodon carcharias (great white shark)
Lineage: Eukaryota; Metazoa; Chordata; Chondrichthyes; Lamniformes; Lamnidae
Exons: 3
Source: RefSeq, a predicted model, not a curated record